AAGCGUUGAAGUAGAGGGCUGUUUCAAGUCGCAGUGUUCUACGGAGCUUUGUUGGGGGUUGUGCAUUAACCACAACUUGAAUAGGCGCAAGCCGAAAGAAAAUGCUCUCA
This 110-nucleotide non-coding RNA is filed under the name unclassified sequences. Its description in RNAcentral is "drum RNA". It matches the Rfam family "drum RNA". Rfam says of the family: Firmicutes, Bacteroidetes (1 example), Proteobacteria (2 examples), Spirochaetes (2 examples). Terminator (Clostridia) The record is from Rfam by way of RNAcentral.